Molecule: long non-coding RNA, 756 nt
Filed under: Diabrotica virgifera virgifera (western corn rootworm)
Lineage: Eukaryota; Metazoa; Arthropoda; Insecta; Coleoptera; Chrysomelidae
Description: uncharacterized LOC126879513
Source: RNAcentral
UACAUAGGGGUGUAUUCUGUAACACUUCCGUUAAAUUUUAGUGGCCCCUAAAAUUUUAGCGCCCGCUAAAAAUAUUUUGGUAUUCUGUAAAUCAUACAUCCGUUAAAAUCAUAACCUAAACCGUUAAAACUCCCUCUAAAUAAAAAUAUUUUAGAGGAUGUCAAAACGUACCCGCUAAAUUUUUAGCAGUCCGUUAAAUGUGGUUUGAUUAUUUUUGUUGGGUUAUGUUUGUAUGAAUAGUACUUUGUUAUUCUUGUAUUAUACUGGAGAUAAAUAUUUAAAAAUGGAAAAUGGCUUUUUAUAAUGUAUUUGGUGAAGAAGUACUUAAUAAAUAAUAAUGAAAGAGCUGAUUUCAGAUUACAACAUAGACACAAAGUAAAUAAUUGACCUGAAAGUAAAUAACUACAAUUACCAUUUCAAAGGAAGUAGGUAAUACCUACCUAAGUACCUAGAAAGAAAUGUUAUUGAAAAAGUGUUGGAAGUCAAAGAUGUUUGUCAAAGCAAUUAAAUCCUAUUAAUGCAGGUAAAAUUAUUUAAAGUUAUUGUGGAACAUUACAAAACGUACCAAAUGAUUACAAAGGUAAAGUUUCAGAAGGUUUAUAACCAGAUGCAGAUUAAUAAGAUGACCUUAAUGUUAUUGAAAAUAGACCAUUUGACCAAAAUUAGUGUCGAAGGGGAGAAGAAAAAAUAAGAUAUGCAUUUUUUCAGCAAUAUUUUAAUGUAUAACUUUAUAAAUAAAAAUGUUUAAUUGGAAAA